GGGAAGGGCCCUAGCUCAGUGGCAGAGCAUCUGCUUUGAGCGCAGAAGGUCCCAGGUUCAGUCCCUGGCAUCUCCCCA
Non-coding RNA from Podarcis lilfordi (Lilford's wall lizard), 78 nucleotides. NCBI's taxonomy places the organism in Eukaryota, Metazoa, Chordata, Lepidosauria, Squamata, Lacertidae. The record is from the annotation of a GenBank genome assembly.